RNAcentral lists this ribosomal RNA (854 nucleotides) under uncultured bacterium. RNAcentral's name for it is "bacterial SSU rRNA". It matches the Rfam family "Bacterial small subunit ribosomal RNA", at positions 8 to 858 of the family's 1533-position model. The record is from RNAcentral.
AGAGUUUGAUUCUGGGUUCCAGAAGAAACGCUAGCGGCAGGCUUUAACACAUCCAAAGUGAAGGGGCAGCAUGUCCAGCAAUGGGUGAUGCGACCGGCGGAAGGGUGCGUAACGCGUGAGCAACAUGCCCUAUACAGGGAGAUACACCAGGGAAACUUGGUCUAAUAUCCCAUAGCAUUCAUUGAAAGCAUCUUUAAUGAAUUAAAGCUUCGGUGGUAUAGGAUUGGCUCGCGUGACAUUAGCCAGAUGGUGAGGUAACGGCUCACCAUAGCAAUGAUGUCUAGGGGUUUUGAGAGGAAGGCCCCCCACACUGGGACUGAGACACGGCCCAGACUCCUACGGGAGGCAGCAGUGAGGAAUAUUGGACAAUGGAUGGAAAUCUGAUCCAGCCAUGCCGCGUGCAGGAAGACGGCCUUAUGGGUUGUAAACUGCUUUUAUACGGGAGCAAUAAGGGUUACGAGUAAUCCGAUGAGAGUACUGUAUGAAUAAGGAUCGGCUAACUCCGUGCCAGCAGCCGCGGUAAUACGGAGGAUCCGAGCGUUAUCCGGAAUUAUUGGGUUUAAAGGGUGCGUAGGCGGCCAUUUAAGUCAGCGGUGAAAUUUUGCAGCUUAACUGUAACAGUGCCGUUGAUACUGUUUGGCUAGGAUUUGGUUGUAGUGUGCGGAAUGUGUGGUGUAGCGGUGAAAUGCUUAGAUAUCACACAGAACACCGAUUGCGAAGGCAGCACACUAAGUCAUUAUUGACGCUGAGGCACGAAAGUGUGGGGAUCAAACAGGAUUAGAUACCCUGGUAGUCCACACUGUAAACGAUGAUAACUCGCUGUCGGCGAUACACAGUCGGGGCCAAGCGAAAGC